GAGAGUGGCGAACGGGUGAGUAACACGUAGCUAACCUGCCUUCAAGACGGGGAUAACAAUUGGAAACAGUUGCUAAUACCCGAUAAGCUCCCGGUAUGUAGAGGAUUGGGAGAAAAGCUUUAGCGCUUGAAGACGGGGCUGCGAGCCAUCAGCUAGUUGGUGUGGUAAAAGCGCACCAAGGCGACGACGGCUAGGGGACCUGAGAGGGUGACCCCCCACACUGGAACUGAGACACGGUCCAGACUUCUACGGAAGGCAGCAGUGAGGAAUAUUGCACAAUGGGCGCAAGCCUGAUGCAGCGACGCCGCGUGGGUGAAGACGGUUUUCGGACUGUAAAGCCCUUUUCUAGGUGACGAGAGUGGACGGUAGCCUAGGAAUAAGUCUCGGCUAACUACGUGCCAGCAGCCGCGGUAAAACGUAGGAGGCGAGCGUUAUCCGGAGUUACUGGGCGUAAAGCGCGUGCAGGUGGAUAGAUAAGUUACUCAUGAAAGCUCCCGGCUAAACUGGGAGAGGUUGAGUGAUACUGUUUAUCUAGAGUGGAUGAGAGGUAAGUAGAAUUCCUUGUGUAGUGGUGAAAUGCGUAGAUAUAAGGAAGAAUACCAGUGGCGAAGGCGACUUACUGGCAUCCAACUGACACUCAGACGCGAAAGCAUGGGUAGCGAACGGGAUUAGAAACCCCGGUAGUCCAUGCCGUAAACGA
This 700-nucleotide ribosomal RNA is filed under the name uncultured bacterium. RNAcentral describes it as "bacterial SSU rRNA". It matches the Rfam family "Bacterial small subunit ribosomal RNA", at positions 91 to 809 of the family's 1533-position model. The record is from RNAcentral.